Molecule: unclassified non-coding RNA, 516 nt
Filed under: Hevea brasiliensis (rubber tree)
Lineage: Eukaryota; Viridiplantae; Streptophyta; Magnoliopsida; Malpighiales; Euphorbiaceae
Source: RNAcentral
GUGGAAAUCCUUGAGUCACGCUGAAAAAGCACCGUAUGAAGCCAAGGCGGCUAAGAGAAAGGCUGAAUACGAAAAGCUUAUCAGAGCAUAUGACAGCAAGAAGGCUAGUGCAGCAGAUGACGAAGAGUCAGAGAGAUCGAAAUCUGAAGUGAAUGACGAGGAUGAGGCCAGUGAGGAGGAGCAUCAAGAAGACGAGGAUGAGGAGGAUGAGGAAGAUGAUGAAGACGAUGACUAAAUUAAAAGCAAGUUUCUGACGUUUAUAAUGGCUGACCCAGCUGGUGGAGGGAGGAACUAGUCAUGGAUGUUCAUAUCUUUAGUACUUUGCGUCUUUCUUAAGUUCUUUUUUGUAUUUGUGUGCAACAUGAUGAAGUGUCAUAUGGCACUUUGUGCGAUAUCUUUGCUUGCUUAAGUGGCCUCCUCCACUCUGCAUCGCCUUUGUCAUAUACAUUGUUAAAAUCUCUGGGUAUUUUGGCCUUAUUUUGAUAACCGAUAUAAAUUAUCGAAUACAUCUUUUGG